Molecule: long non-coding RNA, 790 nt
Filed under: Rattus norvegicus (Norway rat)
Lineage: Eukaryota; Metazoa; Chordata; Mammalia; Rodentia; Muridae
Description: long non-coding RNA NONRATT015868
Source: RNAcentral
UACAUGAUGGGCAAAGUAAAGAAAAGAUUGAAAGAUUGCCUUUUAAACACUGGUCUCCCUUGAAUUUUUAUAGUGGUGUGUUUUUACACGAGCAACAAUAAAACUUUGAUGAAAUAUUGGGUCAGUUUAGGAGCAAGGUUGAAGGCUCUAUACCUAAGAGACACAAAGCGUCGACCCACGUGAAGUGAGACGCACUUUAACGGUCUUGUGACUGUAACUGAUGGAUUGAGAUGGCACCUGCUGAGAUUGCUUCUAUGUUUGAGGGUCUGCCACAUGGUAGGAGAUGGGUAUUGGAAGAAAUUUACUCAGGUAAUCCACUGUGAGACUAAGAGUGUUGUGUCACCUAGGAAUCUGUAUAAGGCUUCUGCUUUAUCACCCCCUAUGAACUCUAAAGCUCUUGCAACGACAAACACAUCACUCAACAGAGUAAUGGUAAAUUGUAAGAAGGCUUGCCUUUGAACGGUGGCCGGAUAACUAUUGUAUUUCUUUCAAAGGCUAACAGCCAUUUUUGGUCCUUGAGUUCAUAUAAGAACUAAUCUACAUGCUACAGUAUCUGAAUGCCAAUGGAGUCUGAAUUUGAGGGGGGAGAGAAUACAUUUGCUGACAGGACUCAUGGGUCACAUGAUCCCUGUGUGCUUUGCUUCCUGUAAAUGAAUGCAGAUGUUACAAAGAUCCGCUUGAAAUGCCAACAAAGUGUGCAGCUGGCAUUGCUGUGGCAUGCGCUACCGUGUGACACAUGUAUGGCGAAACUACUUCAAUUACCACAAUAAAAUGUCAACACAAGAAGCCU